This 274-nucleotide ribosomal RNA is filed under the name uncultured bacterium. Its description in RNAcentral is "partial 16S ribosomal RNA". It matches the Rfam family "Bacterial small subunit ribosomal RNA", at positions 523 to 796 of the family's 1533-position model. The record is from RNAcentral.
AUACGGAGGUUGCAAGCGUUAAUCGGAAUUACUGGGCGUAAAGCGCGCGUAGGCGGUUAUUUAAGCUAGAUGUGAAAGCCCUGGGCUCAACCUGGGAACUGCAUUUAGAACUGGAUGGCUAGAGUACAGCAGAGGAGUGUGGAAUUUCAGGUGUAGCGGUGAAAUGCGUAGAUAUCUGAAGGAACAUCAGUGGCGAAGGCGACACUCUGGGCUGAUACUGACGCUGAGGUGCGAAAGCGUGGGGAGCAAACAGGAUUAGAAACCCCGGUAGUCC